AAAGUGCGACAAGUGUCAUGACUUGCAGAUACCCGAGAGCUGACAAAUUUCUGAAUGCAAAUUGCAGCCAUGUUAACCUGGCUAUGGAUUGCAGAGAGUACUUCGCUUAUGCGCUUCAUCCAGAGAUGUUUGACAUUUCUGGGACAUGCGAUUGCGCGAUUUUCUGCCCUUUCUUUCUUUUAAGGAAGGGCACACCCCAAACGCCCCACGCACGCAUGCACGUUCCGUGUGUGUGAGUGUGUGGUGUUUCCGCGAUCGUCAAAGGAAGAAGACUUUCGAGUUUUCCUGAAAACCAUUUCCGAGACGAAAAGAUUCGCUCUUUCUCUUCUCAACCCUCACCUCUGCAAUACAGGAGAACCCGCUGAACUUAA
RNAcentral lists this unclassified non-coding RNA (371 nucleotides) under uncultured fungus. RNAcentral describes it as "sequence contains ITS1". The stretch from base 1 to 101 matches the Rfam family "5.8S ribosomal RNA", at positions 50 to 154 of the family's 154-position model. The record is from RNAcentral. Lineage: Eukaryota; Fungi.